Molecule: transfer RNA, 73 nt
Filed under: Neotoma lepida (desert woodrat)
Lineage: Eukaryota; Metazoa; Chordata; Mammalia; Rodentia; Cricetidae
Rfam family: tRNA
About the family: Transfer RNA (tRNA) molecules are approximately 80 nucleotides in length.
Source: Rfam by way of RNAcentral
GGAGAGAUGGCUCAGUGGUUAAGAGCACUGGCUGUUCUUCCGGGAGACCCNGGUUCAAUUCCCAGUAUCCCCA